GACGAACGCUGGCGGCGUGCCUAACACAUGCAAGUCGAACGGAGAUUUCAGCAAUGGAAUCUUAGUGGCGAACGGGUGAGUAACGCGUAGACAACCUACCGCUUAGAUGGGGACAACACUGGGAAACUAGUGCUAAUACCGAAUGUUGUAUUUUGGUCGCAUGACCAAAAUACUAAAGGUGGCCUCUGCAUAUGCUAUCGCUAAGUGAUGGGUCUGCGUCUGAUUAGCUAGUUGGUGAGGUAAUGGCUCACCAAGGCGGCGAUCAGUAGCCGGUCUGAGAGGAUGAACGGCCACACUGGGACUGAGACACGGCCCAGACUCCUACGGGAGGCAGCAGUGGGGAAUCUUCCGCAAUGGACGAAAGUCUGACGGAGCAACGCCGCGUGAGUGAAGAAGGUUUUCGGAUCGUAAAACUCUGUUUUCAGGGACGAAUGUGGGAUGUGUAAAUAAUGCAUCCUAAUGACGGUACCUGAGUAGAAAGCCACGGCUAACUACGUGCCAGCAGCCGCGGUAAUACGUAGGUGGCAAGCGUUGUCCGGAAUUAUUGGGCGUAAAGCGCGCGCAGGUGGGAUAUUAAGUCUGGUGUUAAAGUUCGGGGCUCAACCCCGUGAAGCAUUUGGAAACUGAUAUUCUUGAGUGCAGGAGAGGAAAGUGGAAUUCCUAGUGUAGCGGUGAAAUGCGUAGAUAUUAGGAGGAACACCAGUGGCGAAGGCGACUUUCUGGACUGUGUCUGACACUGAGGCGCGAAAGCUAGGGUAGUGAACAGGAUUAGAUACCCUGGUAAUCCUAGCUGUAAACGAUGGGUACUAGGUGUAGGGGGUAUCGACCCCUCCUGUGCCGGAGUUAACGCAAUAAGUACCCCGCCUGGGGAGUACGGCCGCAAGGUUG
Molecule: ribosomal RNA, 888 nt
Filed under: uncultured bacterium
Lineage: Bacteria
Description: bacterial SSU rRNA
Rfam family: Bacterial small subunit ribosomal RNA
Source: RNAcentral